CACUUCAGCCACUUACCUUUCUCCAACCCCUUCAGCCACUUACCUUUCUCCAGCGCCGGGCUCCCUCGGCGCUGGGGAACACUCAUCCCUCUGCCGACGUCAGCUCCGAAUGCGCAGCAAGAGCCGUGCGCGCAUUCAAACCACCCAUAGGAAAGCAUUACUCAAUGCUUUCCUAUGGACGUCCAGCAUCUUCUCACUGUGAUUUUCACAGUGAGAAUCGCGGAAGCGCCUCUAGUGGCUGUCAGUGAGACAGCCACUAGAGGCUGGAUUAACCCUCAGUGAAACAGCAGUUUCUCUAGAACUGCUAUGUUUUCAGCUGCAGGCUUUAAACUAG
Molecule: non-coding RNA, 334 nt
Organism: Pelobates cultripes (western spadefoot toad)
Lineage: Eukaryota; Metazoa; Chordata; Amphibia; Anura; Pelobatidae
Source: the annotation of a GenBank genome assembly